AUGUCUUCCUCCGGCGCCUUCUCACCAAACCUCAACAAUCAGGUCACAGAGAAGCUGUCACGCGCGAACUACGUGCUAUGGCGCACGCAGAUCACACCUCAGCUGCGCGGUGCCGGCGUCUUCGGCUACGUCGACGGCACCAACCCGGAGCCGGCCAAGCUCCUCGUCACCGUCAAGGAGGGCAAGGAGACUUCAUCGCCCAACCCUCUCCAUCCUUGGGUACGGGAGGACCAGCAGGUCCUUGGCUACCUGCUGAAUAACCUCACAAAAGAGGUCCUGGUCACGGUGACCACGGUC
RNAcentral lists this ribosomal RNA (297 nucleotides) under Triticum aestivum (bread wheat). Its description in RNAcentral is "partial small subunit ribosomal RNA". The record is from RNAcentral. Lineage: Eukaryota; Viridiplantae; Streptophyta; Magnoliopsida; Poales; Poaceae.